RNAcentral lists this ribosomal RNA (467 nucleotides) under uncultured bacterium. RNAcentral describes it as "partial 16S ribosomal RNA". It matches the Rfam family "Bacterial small subunit ribosomal RNA", at positions 28 to 507 of the family's 1533-position model. The record is from RNAcentral.
GAUGAACGCUGACAGAAUGCUUAACACAUGCAAGUCAACUUGAAUUUGGGUUUUUAACUUAGGUUUGGGUGGCGGACGGGUGAGUAACGCGUAAAGAACUUGCCUCACAGCUAGGGACAACAUUUGGAAACGAAUGCUAAUACCUAAUAUUAUGAUAAUAGGGCAUCCUAUAAUUAUGAAAGCUAUAAGCGCUGUGAGAGAGCUUUGCGCCCCAUUAGCUAGUUGGAGAGGUAACGGCUCACCAAGGCGAUGAUGGGUAGCCGGCCUGAGAGGGUGAUCGGCCACAAGGGGACUGAGACACGGCCCUUACUCCUACGGGAGGCAGCAGUGGGGAAUAUUGGACAAUGGACCGAGAGUCUGAUCCAGCAAUUCUGUGUGCACGAUGAAGUUUUUCGGAAUGUAAAGUGCUUUCAGUUGGGAAGAAACAAAUGACGGUACCAACAGAAGAAGUGACGGCUAAAUACGUG